Molecule: unclassified non-coding RNA, 273 nt
Filed under: uncultured Russulaceae
Lineage: Eukaryota; Fungi; Basidiomycota; Agaricomycetes; Russulales; Russulaceae
Description: sequence contains ITS2
Source: RNAcentral
AAUAUUCAAAACCCUUUUCUUUGAUCUGUUUUGGUCGGGGAAAUGGGAUUUUGGACUUGGAGGUCUAAUGCUUGCCUUUGAUUUUAAAAGCGAGCUCCUCUCAAAUAUAUUAGUGGGGUCCGCUUUGCCUGUCCUUGACGUGAUAAGAUGUUUCUACGUUUUGGAAUUUGGCACUGUCACUUGGAUGCUUGCUUCUAAUUGUCUCAUCGACAACGAUGGUGCUCCGGUCACCGCCCAUCUACAUUGGCGGAAGGCUUGGCCCACAAAAUAAAA